AAAACCUGAAUAAGAAUUACUAAAAUCUCAAGGUAUCGGAACCCGAAUACAGCAAAUUGCUUGGAUCGAUUAGUUCUUCAUGAGAAUUCUUGCCAAAGCUUUCAAGUAUUUCGUGAAUAGUCAAUUAUCCUCAUGUUAUGCAGCUACUAGGUAUAUGGAAAACAAGGAAUUUGGUUUACAACCCAACUGGAUCGAAAACAUAACUCAAGCCCAAAACUAAUGAUCCAAAACUUAAAUAAAACUAAUGCUGCAACUUCAACGAAUUUUCUGGCCCUGUUACAGUCUAAUUCAGCUCUCUACUUCUGAACAAAAGUUGUAGAUCUUUUUCUUAGCUUUCCAUCGACUGGUAGCACGUCUCAAUCCGAUACUCCUAGCUCAAGAUAUGAUUUUUCUCGCGAAAGCUGCUAAUGCUGAAAAUUAAAUACGAAAAUUAAAUAAGUGCAAAAAUAACAUAAAUUAUGAAAACACAUUAAAACAUAAAAAUAAUCAAAGCAAACCGAAGAAAUGCUUAAGUACAAACAUGAAAGAACGUGCAUCAAAAUGCACUGAUCAAAUUCCCCCACACUUGAACUUUUGCACUCCGAGCAAAAUGAAAAAGAAAACAAAACACAGACACAUCAACAGUUACUCAUUCUAGGCUAUAAGUCAUCUUCGGUUAAGUUUGCAUCGAUAAGUACUAAUCUUGCACACUAAGGAUAUCGUAGGAAGACUAAUCCACAAUUGUGCAGUCAUAAACCUCCUGAAUACACAAAUCAACUCGAAUCAUGUUAUUAUAUUAAAGCCUAACUUAC
This 791-nucleotide long non-coding RNA is filed under the name Lathyrus oleraceus (garden pea). Its description in RNAcentral is "Pisum sativum (pea) long non-coding RNA (PSAT_LNC001350)". Lineage: Eukaryota; Viridiplantae; Streptophyta; Magnoliopsida; Fabales; Fabaceae. The record is from RNAcentral.